Pan troglodytes (chimpanzee) is the source of this 3035-nucleotide long non-coding RNA. RefSeq lists it as uncharacterized. NCBI's taxonomy places the organism in Eukaryota, Metazoa, Chordata, Mammalia, Primates, Hominidae. The record is from RefSeq and is a predicted model, not a curated record. The transcript has 5 exons.
GGUUCAGAAAUCUUCUCAGUGAGCUGCUAUUCAGACUCAGAAAGUAGCUUGGAGAAUACUCCAGACGUUAGGCUUUGCAAGUUUUUGUUUACAUAGAAAAGUCUCUUUUAAAUUUCCUUAUUCUUGCACUGCAAAGAGACCUAACCUUGAUGGGUCCCAUCUGCAAUGCUCCUCCUGAAAAGAGACAGAGCUGUUUAACUGAACUGACCUAUUUGGAGGACGAAUAGACUGAUUGAAAAAGGUGCCCAGGAAGUCCUGGAACUGAGUCCUGGGGCAAGGUUCUGGAAGGUGGGACAAGAAGACAGCCCUGGUAAUUCUACUGGAAUAUAAUCUCCACGAAGAUAGAUUCCUAGAAAAGAGGAAAACAAUCACUCUAGAACUGUUAUAAGCAUGCUAACCAGGACUUCAGAGAAAGGAAAAAAAAAGGCUGAACCUCGCUGGUGAUUCAGAUGGAUCAUGAGGAUCUUUCAACAAAGCUAAGUUCCCGUCUUUUAACACAGUUAUUCUCAUACUUUUAUACUGAAAUAUCCAGAAUAGCAAAUGAGUUAAAUAUGUUUUCUGUGGGGUUCUGUACGAAGAGGAUUUAGAGCUUUAUGAACCUAAAAUAACAUAUCACAAGGAGAAAAUUUAUUUGAAGUGGGAGACUUGGCUUAAAAGCAUCUAAUAUAAAUUGUAUAUUAUAUUCAAUAAUACAAAAGCAAUGCUUUAUUUAGAAUGAAUUAAAAUGCAUGCUUCAGACAAAUGCAUGAUGUUUAGCUUUUGAUUUACUGAAUAUACUAUUCAACAGAUGUUUGAGUUACAUAGUUUGAGGAGCACAGGCCUUUGGUAUUGAUGGCUCCUGUUAAAAUAAAAACAUGUUUUCUGAGAGCAUAAUCAUAUGAAACCAGGAGCACAUAUUAACAUAAAACUCAAAUCACUUCCCCUGACUUUCUUCUUUCAAAUGUAAAGAAAGUGGGAAACAGGACAGAUGAAUUUGAAGAAACAGAAGAGCUCAGGAAAGUUCAAAGCAUGAAGCAAACUCAAAAGUAUAUCUAAAUACCUAGGGAGCACCUUCAAAGCACAAGGUACCUGAAGAUGAAACAGCAGAAGUGAAAAGAAUUGCUCAUGUAGUACAGGGCUAAAAUUGUACCUGAAGCAUCUCUGCUGCUAUCCCAGGAGAAGAAGAGUCGACAGUAGCUAUGGUAAACAUGCAUGGAAGCAUCAGGGAAAACAGAAAUUUAGAGAAGCAGAUAGAGUGAGCCCAAGGCAAGAUAAGGGUUUCUGGGUCUGAAUUUCAGAAAAGCCUGACUAUGGAGAGUGGGAGUUCCUGUUUUCUUUCAGUGACUUGCUAAUUUCAAUUUUGUGUGUGUGUGGCAUUAACAGAUUUUUGCCUAACUUGGGACAUUUUUAACAGUAGAGGAUCUCUUCUGUCAGUUCUGAUAUGGUAAUUUUAAAACACAUAUUCUUUAACUGAACAUUCAUUAAAUCACUUGGCCAGGAAUCCAAAUAACAAAAUGUCUAUCAUGGAAUUCUGUGUGUAAUAGAAGUUAUGUAACUUGUUUCUUCUUAGUAGAGAGAAUAAAAAGUAAAAUCAAAACCACCCCCAGAUGACCAUUUUUAGCACUUUCAUUUUAUCGGGAGAGGUGAGCAACAUGCAGAAAAUAUAUAUUCUUGAAUUAAUCUCCUUUGGGUACAGAGAGAAAAGAGCUCAUUAUUCUUCUAACUGGCAACAUUUGAUUUUAUUGACACCCUAACAGUAUGUCAGUUGCUCAGUAUAUCUCCCUAGGCUGUAGUCUUGCAGACUUUCUUUUUUCUUUUUUUUUUAACUUACCAAUUCUAUGAUGUAUUCCCAUGGAUGUCUCUUUUUAUGCUAUUUUACAAUCUAUUUCUAGAAUAAUAAUGGAAAUUUCAAUGGAAACAACAUAUCACAUUCUCUGUCUACUACAUAAGUAUGUCUUUUUUAUUUGUAAAUAGAUCAUAUUUUGCACAUAAUUAGGUAAUACCCACAUAUCUUAAUUUGGCUUAGAAAUUAUAUUGAAAGAUAGAAUUGCAUAAGGGUAGGGAUUUUACUUUUAAAUUAUUUUCAUGUCUCCGUGGAUUGGCUCUGUGCUUUACACCCAGUAGCUGUGAAACAAGUACUUAUUUAAUGAUGAAUGAAUAAAUAAAUAAAUAGUUAAAUGCAGCAACAAAAAUGUUGGUAGAUAUAUAGGAUUGUAGAAUUUAAUUGCUUGGUAGGAUCAUCAAGUUCUACCCAAAUUUGGUGUGGCAAACAGAACAAUGGUCCCUUAAAGAUGGCCUAGUCCUAACCUCCCAAACCUGGAAUAUGUUACCUUAUGUAACAAAGAGACUUUGCAGAUGUAAUUAAGUUAAUGAUCUUAAGACAGAAAUAUUAUUCUAAGUGAACUCAAUGAAAUUACAAUGAACAAUGUUCCUUAAAAGAGGAAGGCAAAAGUUCAGAAUAAAACACACAUACACACAUAAAGUGGCUAUGAAAGCAGAAGUAGUGAGAGAUUUGAAGAUGCUACCUUACUAGAUUCAAAGACAGAGGAAGGGGUUAAAAUCUAAGGAAAUCAGGCAAGGCAGCCUUUCGAAGCUGCAGAAGAUAAGGAAAUGAAUUCUCCCUAGAACUUCCAGAUAGAAACAGCCCUACUGAUUCCUUGACAUUAGCUCAGUGAAACGUAUUUUCAGACUCUAACUUCCAGAUCUGUAGGAGAUAAAUUUGUGUUGUUUAAGCUACUACAUUUGUGGCACUUUGUCAAAGUAGCAAAAGGAAACGUAUAUUUGGUAGGCAUCAGAAUUUCCUGAGCAAUAUAGUGUGAUUACCUUUGAAAAUUCUACUCAGCAGUCCUGGAAUUGCAGCCUGAAAUUUGAAAUUUACUAAGUGCUCCCACUAUAUCUGAGUCAGGAAUUACCUAGGAAACCAUGAUAUAUUGCAUUACACUAAUUUUGUACUUGAGAAAAAGCACAAUGUUAAAAUCUCAAGAACAUUAAUAUAGACUUAAGUACAAUUUAUCAUGUAAAAACAUAUUUGAAAAAGUAAGCCUGAAAAAAAGAAA